Molecule: long non-coding RNA, 859 nt
Organism: Zingiber officinale
Lineage: Eukaryota; Viridiplantae; Streptophyta; Magnoliopsida; Zingiberales; Zingiberaceae
Exons: 3
Source: RefSeq, a predicted model, not a curated record
AUAAUUAAGUUUUGGUUAAUCGUUGUUAAGGUUGUUUAGUUUAAUUGCUUUUGUUUUUCUUGUAUUUUGUUUUUCUUGUAUUUUGUUGUCGAUGGACUGCUACCAAGGGUAUUGUGUUUUUCUAGCUCUCUCAAGCUUCUUUUUUUUCCCAAUCCUUGUUCUUCUUGCAUUAUUUUUCUUGUAUUAUAUUGUUUUUCUUCUAAGGUUGGAUCUUCUAUUUUCAGAUUUACGAAAUGAGUUAUGUAAAAUGAUACCACAACUUUAGAUUGAACACUGAUGAGGUAUUUGAUCAUAUUGUCUCAAACCAUUGAGACUUAAAUAUUGCAUAUGAUAUACAGUCCAGAAGGUUCUUGCAAAACUACCUCCGGAAAUUGCAAGAAAAUAUUUUUCCUAAGCUUGUGGAUUGCCUAUUCCUCUUCAAAUCUUUCAUUUACAUGCCAUGUUUGCCUGAUAAGACACAGGCAGAUUUGUCAAGAAAUGCAGCAAAAAAAAGAUUCUUCCAUGGUUUGUUUGUCAGGUUACGUUUUUUCAUAGUUCUCUCGUUUUGUUGCUUAAUCUUCUAUGUUUUUUGAGACAAGCAAAGAGUUUGUGUUGUGAUUCCACUAUUGAAACUUUAGUAGCAUAGGCAUACUCCUCCCCUGCUCGUGCUUGCAAAUUUAUAUGAAUUUGGUAAUAAUUAACUUGGCAGUACUUUUGGAGAUUGCUACUUUUGCAUGAGGAUGAUAAAUUUCUAAUAAUUUGUAGGAAUGGUAACCUCAAAAUUUGGAAAGUGACAUGCCUUGACAGCUUUUGAAGUACUGAAAGAACUUUUUUUUCUUGGUUGAGCUCCAUUUAAGUUCUCCCUUUCCUUGUUCAGUUA